GACGAACGCUGGCGGCGUGCUUAACACAUGCCAGUCGAACGGAAAGGCCCUGCUUUUGUGGGGUGCUCGAGUGGCGAACGGGUGAGUAACACGUGAGUAACCUGCCCUUGACUUUGGGAUAACUUCAGGAAACUGGGGCUAAUACCGGAUAGGAGCUCCUGCUGCAUGGUGGGGGUUGGAAAGUUUCGGCGGUUGGGGAUGGACUCGCGGCUUAUCAGCUUGUUGGUGGGGUAGUGGCUUACCAAGGCUUUGACGGGUAGCCGGCCUGGGAGGGUGACCGGCCACAUUGGGACUGAGAUACGGCCCAGACUCCUACGGGAGGCAGCAGGGGGGAAUAUUGCACAAUGGGCGGAAGCCUGAUGCAGCAACGCCGCGUGCGGGAAGACGGCCUUCGGGUUGUAAACCGCUUUCGCCUGUGACGAAGCGUGAGUGACGGUAAUGGGUAAAGAAGCACCGGCUAACUACGUG
Molecule: ribosomal RNA, 468 nt
Filed under: uncultured bacterium
Lineage: Bacteria
Description: partial 16S ribosomal RNA
Rfam family: Bacterial small subunit ribosomal RNA
Source: RNAcentral